GUUAACCAAUGAUAAUAUUUUUCCUAUAGUACUGUGUCAAUUAACAUUUAUACAAUUCACCAAACUUAUUCAGGUUUUACCAGUUUUACGUGCACUAUUUUGUGUGCAUAUAUUUAGUUCUAUGCAAUUUCAUAACAUUUGCUGAUUUGUAUGAUCAUUAUCAAUGUAGAGAUAUAGAACAGUUCUAUCACAAGUAUCUAUUGUGCUACCAACUUCAGACCAGAGCCAUCUUUCUACUUCUCCCCCAAAAGCUCUGGCAACCACAAAUCUGUUCUCCAUCUCUUUAAUUUUGUCUCUUCACGAUUUUUCUGAAAAUGGGAUCAUACAUUAUGUUACCUUUCGAGAUGAGCUCUUUCACACAGCAUAAUGCCCUUGUAAUUAGUGUGUACAUCACUAGUCCAUUGGUAAGCAGUAUUCUAUGAAAUGGAUGGUUUAGCUCAUCACAUAUCUUAUAACAGCUGAGUCAUUUCUGAUUUUGAAUAUUAUAAAUAAAGCUGCUUGAACAUUAGUGUAUAAUAUUUUUGUAAACAAAAAUAUAGCCAUUCUCUGGGAUAAAGGUCAAAAAGUCCAAUCGUUGUGUCAUAUGGUAAUCAAAUGUUUAGUUUUAUAAGAAAUUGUCAAACUGUUUUAUAGCGUGUUCAACUUUACAUUCCCAUCAGCAAUACAUAUAGGAUGCAGUUUCUCUUUGUCCUUGCCACUUGUCACAUGUUUUUGUUUUAGUCAUUUUAAUAAGUUUGUAGUAAUAUUUAAUUGUAAUUUUAAUCUGUAUUUUCUUAAUGGCUAAUGAUGUUGAAAAUUACUCCUACUUAUUAGGCUUCCAUGUCUUUUUUUCAGUGAGAUGUCCCAUCAAACACUUUGCCCAUUUUAAUUGGAUUGCUUUAUUUGCUUAUAUUUACUAUGUUUUUACAAAGAUGUCUUUAUAUACUCUAGAUAUAAGUUUCUUAUCAGAUAUUCAGGUUGCAAGUAUUUUGUCUCUUCAUAGCUUGUAUUUUCAUCCUCUUUAUGGGGACUUUCACACAGCAAAUAUUUUCAAUUUUGAUUUCCAAUUUAUCAAUUUUUUUCAUUUUAUGGGUCAUGUUUUUGGUGUCGAGUCUACGAACCACUUGCCUAGCCCUAGAUCUUAAUAAUUUUCCUCUAUGUUUUUUUUUCCUAAGGGUUGUAUAGUUUUAUAUCUUAUAGUUAAGUUUAUAAUCCACUUUGGGUUAAGUCUUGUAUAAGACGUGAGAAUGAUGUCAAAGUUUACCUUUUUUUCUGGUUAAUAUGUACCCAGUUGCUUCAAUAUCAUUUAUUUAAAAGGGUAUCUAUUUUCCUGUUUAAUUGCUUUUUCAUCUUUGUCAAAAAUCAGUCUAGCACAUUUGUGUGAAUCUGUAUUUGGUUUCUCUUUUUUUUCCCAUUGAUCUAUGUGUCUAUUCGUCUAACAAUAUUGCAUUGUCUUGAAUAGUAUAGCUAUAUAGUAAGAUUCAAUAUCAGAUAGAGUGAUUCCUCCUACUUAAUCCAUAUGUUUUAAGAUUCUUUUUCCUAUUCUAGGGCCUAUGCCUUUUUCAUAUGGGGACCUGCUUAAAGAAGCAGUCUGGCCAUGCCUUUGUAGAGCAGCUGUGCUGUGCUGGGGUACUGCUUAUGCACUGGUUGGCUUGAGCUUUCCAAAGCCCACAAGCUGGAAUGGCUAAGUUGCCCAAACAGCAAAGAUAGCAGCCCUCCCCUCCCUCUGAGAGGUUCCCUUGGUUCCAUGUCACUCCUGGGUGGGCUGUCGUCCUGCUUUAUUUUUCUCCAUUCUUUGUGGGUCAAGUUGUUUCCUUGAUUAGUCCCAAUGCGAGUACCUGGAUGUUACUGUUGAAGCUACUGUAUUUACUUGCCCCUUCCAUUCCUCUCUGUGAAAGCCACACAUCUAAGCCGCUUCUAGUCCUGGUGGGGUCUUAGGGGAAUUAUACUAAGUGGAAAAAAUGUAAAUCUGCAAAUGUUUCAUACCAUAGGAUUCUGUGUAUACAGCAUUCUUGAAAAGACAAAAUAAUAUUAGUGAAGAACAGAUUCGUGGUUUCUAGGGUUUGCAAAGGUCUAGGGAGAAGGAUGUCAAUGUGGUUGUGAGAAGACAACAUGAGAGAUCCUUGCGGUGAUAAAAUUAUCCUAUAUCCUGACUGUGGAAGUGGUCACAUGAAUCUGCAUGUGACAUGUGAUAAAAUUUCACAGUAUGAAAUAAACACACAGACACUCAAUGACUCAAUGACUGUGUGUAACACUGGUAAAAUAUGAAUAGAUAGAGUGUAUCAAUUUCUAUUUUUUAGUCAUGACAAUGUAAAAUAGUUAUGCAAGGUGUUACCAUUGGGGGAAACUAGGUAAAACUAUAUAGGAUUUAUCUGAUUAUUUAUUGCCACUACAUGUAAUUCAAUAACUACCUCAAAAGAGAAUGUUAAUAAAAGGAAUGAAGAUAUUAUUUUUUAGCUGAUAUGGAGUGAAUUAUAGGAUAUAAUGUAAAUGCUAAAAAAGUGAGAAAACAAGAUGCUAAUGAAAAUAUUUAUUAUAUAUUUGGUGGAUAGGUAAAGAGUGAUGGAGUAAAAUUGAAGCAAGACUACUACUUUUCACUUAAUUUUGAGUUUUGAACAUGUAAAUACUUUAAAUACUCAAAAAAUUAAAUUAAACACAAAAAGAUUAAAGAAAUACUCUGAAGAUGUGGAUGAACCCACAUUACUAACUAAAAUAAAAACACAUACUCUGAUUCUACACACUUGGUGGAAUACAUUCUAACGACAAAUGUUAGCACAACAAAAUCUCAACUUUUACUUUUGAUUUUGGUAGAAGUACUCGUGUGGUAACUUUGAAGUUAUUUUAUGUUUACUUGAAGAUAGAAGACUGUCAUGAAAUAUUGAUAUUGUUGGAAACUUGAGUUCUCAGUAGGAAAGAAAAAAGAUAAACAUACAAAAUAAAAUAAAGCAUCCUGUGGUACUGAAUUUGAAUUGGAGGUUACAGUAUGAACCCAUGAUUUCACUAAAAAUGUAUUUUCUGACUCUGACUACUAAAAAGUGCUCAGAAAAUAUAUCGUGUUAUUUCCUGUGAUUGCUGUAACAAAUUAUCACAAAUUCAGUGACUUAAAACAAUCAAAAUUGACUUGCAAUUCUGAAGGCUAGGAUCCAAAAUAAGUACUGCUGGGCCAAAAUCAAGAUGUCAGCAGGGGUCUACUACUUCCCAAUGUAUCUAGGGGAAUAAUCUAUUCCUUUUCCAAAGUCUUUUAUUUUUAAAUUUGAUCAUAUUUUCACGUAUUCUGUUUCUUGGAGCAUAUUAAUCAUAUAUAUUUUAUAUUACGUGUUCAAUAACUCCAAUUAUAAAAUAUUAUGAUGUCUGAUUGUGCUGUCUUUUGUGUUUAGUGUUUGUAAUUCAUAGUAACUUUUUUGUGAAUUUUGUCAUUUUUGAAUGUAAGAUAACAUGGUAUUUUGUUUUUGGAAAAUCAUUACGGCAGGCUUCUAUUUCUUCAAAGAGGGUUUGUGCUUACUUCUUCCAGGAAAUACUUUUAAAAUUAUUCCUGCAUUAAGGUGAAAGUCAUAUAUAUUUACUUACAUAAGUCAGAAUUACUGUGAAAGUCAUAUAUCUUUAUUUACAUAAAUCAAAAUUUACAAGUGGCUUAUUGUGUUUAUUAUUUAAUACACAUAUAAGAUAUUAGUAAUGCAUUCCCAUUUGGGGGGUUAAACAUAUUGGUAAACACAUUUUAUUUCAAUUUUUUUCUUUCAGAUCAACUCAGUUAUAUGAAAAAAAAAUCAUUAGGUGAAGCUCCACAUAUACUUUGACAAUUCUGUCCUAAACACAGAUAUCUUGUCAUUGCAAUGUUCUAUCUCUAAACUUUCACCCCUACAAUCUUUAGGAUAAAGUCAUCUGAUACAUUUUAGAGUAGUGAUAUCAUUUCUGUUUAAUAUAAUUUAAUUUCAUUUAGAAACUUUCCGUGUUUUAACUCAUUAGAGUAUUUAGUUAGCCAUUAAUCCAUUUUGUAGAGGCAUUUGUAUUGUGUUUAUGUUUAGUGAUAGCUUCAUACUAGCUUGACCAUGUUAUUUAAAUUUUAAUUUAACUGCACAAUAAACCUAAUAUUGGUAUAUAUUUACAACUAAGAAACUACUUUUAUUCUUUCUUAUGUUUGUUAGUUUUUUUUAAUAAGAUGUGUUUUAUUUUGACUGGCCCAUGUAUCUAUUAAAUUAGGAAUCAUUAGACAUUUCUAGACGAUUUUGUAUUUGGCUUGGUUUUUCAAAAAUAAUUCUAGUGUAUAUUAAGUAGGAUUUGUUUUAUGUUCUACUUAUUCAUAUCAUGUUUUUCUUAAUUGUACAGCAAACUGACUUUUUUAUAGUUUAAAUAAAAAUACUUUAACAUAUAGAACUAAUUAAUCAUGUUCAUAAUAAUAUUAAUCAUCAUAAUAAUCAUCAUAAUUAGUGCUUUCCUUAAGAAAAAAAAUACUUAUUUUAUAUAUCCUUUUCAGUUUCUCAUCCUUUAAGUCAAAUAUUUGUUAUAAAAUAUUCUUAAAAAAUCAUAUUUAUUAGUACUGGAGAAUGAGAAUAAAAGUGCUAUGUGAGUAUGUUUAUAAUGCAGAUAAAAAAUGAACUAAGGCCAAAUGCGGUGGCUCACGCCUGUAAUCCCAGCACUUUGAGAGGCCGAGGUGGUUGGAUCACGUGAGGUCAGGAUUUCGAGACCAGUCUGGCCAACAUGGUGAAAUCCUGUCUCUACAAAAAUACAAAAAUUAGCCCGGUGUGGUGGCACAUGCCUGCAGUCCCAGCUACUGAGGAGACUGAGGUAGGAGAAUCACUUGAACCCGGGAGGCGGAGGUUGCAGUGAGCUGAGAUCGUGCCACUGCACUCCAGCCUGGGUGACAGAUGGAGACUCCGUCUCGAACAAACAAAAAAAUGAACUAAGGUGAUAAUAUUUUCUGUACAAUGACAUUUUCCUCAAUAAAAUGAAUAGAGAAGAAAAAAAGAAAUAGAUUAAAAUUGUGAACACUAGGUUAAAGGAGAACUUAAAUAUAUAAUAAUCACCAAUACAAGCUGAUAUUCAAUAGAUCUAGACAUUACAUUGAGAAGCUGAGUGCAAAACUAUAAGCCGUUUUUGUAAUAGUUCCUUAUGCACAUAAUGCCAGCUCAUUUGUUGUUGAAAAGAUAUUCAAAAUUAUCCAUAUUACGUAAAGGAAAGAAUGAAUUUAUUCAUGAAUAUAAAUGUACUCAUUUCUUGUGCUGUCUUAAUCUAUACUUUCUCCUGUCAGCAAUAGCAAGCAUGUAUAGGUUUUACUUCGGUCAUCACUCAAAAUGAAUGCAAUCCAAAGCCGUUACUUUGCCACUGAGAGUUAACCUUCAGAGACCUCUUUAUGAGUAGAAGUGUUUUAGGACAGCUAUAGCUUUACCAUUGACCUUUUUCUUUUUAUUUUUGCCUUUAGUUUUUAAUUAUCUGUCAUUUGUUACCUGUGAAUUUGACCUAGGAAAGAAGAUAGGUAGCUAACAUACUCAGAGAAAUGCAAUAUUGUUCCCACUUAAAGAUACUAUAAUAACAGCAUCACAAAAAUAUGCCUGAAGGCUACAUAAAUUCAGCAUCUAUGAACAACGAAAUAAUCUUUCAUUUUUCACAUUGAUUUUGUUUCAAUUUACAACAAAGGACUAACAACAGCAGCUGCAAAACAGUGAUCACACAUAAUGUGAUCUGUAAGCAAAUGUUUAUUCACGAAGUACCCAUUUCUCUUCCGGUGCUCUCCAGCUGACUUGUUGCUCAGCAUGUAGUGUAAUAAUCACCGCAUGGUACACUAGCAGGCAUGCAGCGACCAGCAAUAAGGCAUCUGCUAUGCAUUCAAAAACAAAUAUCAAAUGUAAUUCUCCAGAAAUUUCUUAUGGAUUUUAUGUAGACUAGAGACUAUUUGUAUCUUUUAGGAGACAUCUUUCUUAGAACAAAGGUAUAUACAUGUUUAUUAUUUUGGUGCAUGAACUUUUUCAAAGAUGCUUGCAAACACACACAUGCACAAGUAAAUCCUGAUCUUUCACAAAAUUUGAAAGGCUCAUUGUCCUGUAUAUAAGGAGGCUUUUCUAUUUUGAUUGGGUCUCACAGUAUAAACUCAUCAUAUACAUAUGAGUGUGUAUUUUUCUUCACAUAGCUAACUGAAAUAAAAGUUUUAUGAAACUUUCAAGUGUUAUCUGACAUUUUUAUCCUUUUUCUUUUCUUUUCAAUUUCAUUUAAAAACCCUCUGAUUGUGAUUCACUAAAUUGAUCUCAUAAAACAUUGUCAUGACCCUUUAUUUCAAAAUCACUCCUACAGCAUGUACAACAUAUACAUGUACUGAAACAUCACACUGUUCCCCAUAAACAUGUACAAUUAUUAUGUGUCAGUUAUAAACAAAAUAAAAAGUUUUUCUAUAAAUGUUAUACCACAAUAUUGAAUGUUGAUAUUUGUAUUUACUUCCAACUAAAUGGAAUUACUAUUGUAUUACUUCAGAAUUGUUAAUAGAGACUGUACUAAAUUUGAAAAAUGUGUACUUCUGUGAAUACUCCUAAUUUUUGUAAAUUCUAUAGAAAAUGUGUUGUAUACAGUACUUUUUUAGUUCCUGAAUAUCAUUGUGUAUACUUAAAAACAUUAAAAUGUGGACAAAUUUAUAAGGAAAUUAUUCUUAUCAAUAACUCUAAUCACUAAAAAUUACUUAAUCUUUGAUAUUGGAAAUUCAUCAAGUUUAUUUCUGUGUGAAGUUUAUUUUUGUAGAGCACCACCUGUAUGCUUCUCCUUGGUUAUUUUCAUCAAACUAUGUAAGAGAUAGAAUGAUGUUAGUACAGCUGAUUUAUUGCAGCUCCAUUUUCUUCUUAUCUUUACAUUCACCAGGUCAGACCUAAGGGGCUAAUUGAGAAAACAUUUUCUUCUAGUAAAGUCUAAUUUGGAAGAAAUUCCCAGAGAGAACAAAUCUAAUCUGAAUAUCCAUAAACAGAAAGAUUGUCAAAGAGAGACAAAGAUACAAUAAUUGUUGUGUCCAAGAGGGACAUGCUUCAAGUUCUGAAUGAAUUACAAAAAAAUUUUCCCAAAAAGUAAUACUAACAUGUAGUUCCACAUCAGUGCAUGACUGUAUCUAAUUCACCACUUCAUUGCCAAAAUAAAUAUUAUCUUGUAAUUUAAAUAAAAAAAUUUGUCCAUAUGACUUACAGAAACAAUACAAAAGGGAUCAUGAUAAAAAGCAAUAAUCCUGCCUCAGUCUUCACCACAAGUCCUACUUGUGAGCAAAAAAGAAAAAAAGCCAUCUUUAAUUGCUUCAGGUUUUAACUUUUCUGAUAUGUUAUGCUAUAAACUCAAAUUGUGUUUUGUUAAUAUUUUAAAAUAUGUUAAAAUAUUAGCAUAUUUUGAGUUUAUAGCAUAUCAGAAAUGUUUAUCAUUUUAAACAUGAUCCAUUUAAAUCCCAUUAUCAUGUCUGAAGAUUUAGUUCAUGUACGUAUCUCCACAUUUCCUCACAUUCUCCCUGUCCAGGAAAACUAAGUCAUUAAUAUUAUUUAACUUAUCUAUAGCAAUUAUGACUUAUAUAACUUAAUUAUACCUCUAUUUCUAGACUCUGCACCUUAUAAAAAAGUUUUUAGCAACCCUACUCUUUUUCUUUUCUUUCUACCUGCCAGUUUCUUAUCUAUUUCAAUUUUGUAAAUUGCAUAUAAUAACAAAAACGUAUACGGUGUAAUUUUUUUUCCUGUUGUGCUGAAAUUAUGACUAUGAGUAAAAUCGAGUACAAAAUGCAUUAAAUGUCUCUCAUUCUAAGUUCAAAAUUGUGCUACAAUGGUAUCAAAUUAGCUAAAAAUGCAGUUUAAGACCAGUUUCUCCCCAUGGGGCUUACUGAGUGUCCCAUAACUAGCCUACAUUCUCCAGUUACCCUCCCCCACCUCAUGCCUAGAAAUCAUGAGGGAAAAGAAUGGAUGCAUUACAGUUUUUGAAAUCUGGUGAGAGUGAUAAUUCAAGCAAACCAUUCAUAAAGAUUAGAAUUGCCUGCAGGAAAUGUCCGUUAGUAUUCUGUUACCCAUCUGGAAGUCUGUUGUACUCCUGAUGGUGCUAUGUGGCCUGCCUUCUAACCUCACUACUGAUUGUCAGGUAAGAGGUAUUUGGCAAUCUAGAAUUUGAAGAUAGAAGGGUGAGAACAUUCUGAGAGAAAAAGUGUGUUUUAUAAUGCACAGAUCCUUUCUUGCCAUUAUAAGUCACUUGAAGUUUAGACCAGACUAGGUUGUCUUAGGUUGGGUGGUAGUGUCAGAGGCAUGUCAACCAGAGAAGCUCCAUCUUGAAUAGGGAUUGGGUAAAAUGAGGCUGAGACCUACUGGGGUGCACUCCCGGAUGGUUAAGACAUUCUAAAUCACAGGGUGAGAUAGGAGGUCGGCACCAGAUACAGGUCAUAAAGACCUUGCUGAUAAAACAGGUUGCAGUAAAGAAGCCGGCUAAAACCCACCAAAACCAAGACUGCCAGGAGAGUGACCUCUGGUCUACCUCACGGUUACACUCCCACCAGUGCCAUGGCAGUUUGUAAAUGCCAUGACAACAUCAGGAAAUUACCCUAUAUGGUCUAAAAGGGGGAGACAUGAAUAAUCCACCCUUUGUUUAUUUUAUCAUCUAGAGAUAACCAGGUAGAUGGG
This 8588-nucleotide long non-coding RNA is filed under the name Homo sapiens (human). Its description in RNAcentral is "long non-coding RNA NONHSAT223464.1". The record is from RNAcentral. Lineage: Eukaryota; Metazoa; Chordata; Mammalia; Primates; Hominidae.